GGCUCAGGAUGAACGCGGGCGGCGUGCCUAAUACAUGCAAGUCGGACGGACGAUCGCAAGGUCGUUAGUGGCGAACGGGUGAGUAACGCGUUGGUGACCUGCCCUAUAGUGGGGGAUACCAGACCGAAAGGUCUGCUAAUACCGCAUGAGCUCGGGAGAGACCAGAAAUUUCCGAGGAAAGCCGAAAGGCGCUAAAGGAGGGGCCUGCGUCCCAUCAGCUAGUUGGUAAGGUAACGGCUUACCAAGGCGAUGACGGGUAGGGGACCUGAGAGGGUGACCCCCCACAAUGGAACUGAAACACGGUCCAUACACCUACGGGUGGCAGCAGUAGGGGAUAUUGGUGAAUGGGCGCAAGCCUGAACCAGCAACGCCGCGUGUGCGAUGAAGGCCUUCGGGUUGUAAAGCACUUUUUGCCGGGAAGAGGAAGGACGGUACCGGUAGAAUAAGCCUCGGCUAACUACGUGCCAGCAGCCGCGGUAAAACGUAGGAGGCGAGCGUUAUCCGGAUUUACUGGGUGUAAAGCGCGUGCAGGCGGUUGGAUAAGUUGGGUGUGAAAGCUCCUGGCUCAACUGGGAGAGGUCGCUCAAGACUGUCCGACUGGAGCGUGGUAGGGGAAGGCGGAAUUCCGGGUGUAGUGGUGAAAUGCGUAGAUAUCCGGAGGAACACCAGUGGCGAAAGCGGCCUUCUGGACCACGACUGACGCUCAGACGCGAAAGCUAGGGGAGCAAACGGGAUUAGAGACCCCGGUAGUCCUAGCCGUAAACGAUGUGAACUUGGCGGUGGGCGGGUAAAACUGUUCACUGCCGUAGCUAACGCGAUAAGUUCACCACCUGGGGACUACGGC
This 844-nucleotide ribosomal RNA is filed under the name uncultured bacterium. Its description in RNAcentral is "bacterial SSU rRNA". It matches the Rfam family "Bacterial small subunit ribosomal RNA", at positions 21 to 886 of the family's 1533-position model. The record is from RNAcentral.